This 468-nucleotide ribosomal RNA is filed under the name uncultured bacterium. RNAcentral's name for it is "partial 16S ribosomal RNA". It matches the Rfam family "Bacterial small subunit ribosomal RNA", at positions 28 to 507 of the family's 1533-position model. The record is from RNAcentral.
GACGAACGCUGGCGGCGUGCUUAACACAUGCAAGUCGAACGGAAAGGCCCUGCUUUUGUGGGGUGCUCGAGUGGCGAACGGGUGAGUAACACGUGAGUAACCUGCCCUUGACUUUGGGAUAACUUCAGGAAACUGGGGCUAAUACCGGAUAGGAGCUCCUGCUGCAUGGUGGGGGUUGGAAAGUUUCGGCGGUUGGGGAUGGACUCGCGCCUUAUCAGCUUGUUGGUGGGGUAGUGGCUUACCAAGGCUUUGACGGGUAGCCGGCCUGAGAGGGUGAGCGGCCACAUUGGGACUGAGAUACGGCCCAGACUCCUACGGGAGGCAGGGGUGGGGAAUAUUGCACAAUGGGAGGAAGCAUGAUGCAGCAACGCCGCGUGCGGGAUGACGGCCUUCGGGUUGUAAACCGCUUUCGCCUGUGACGAAGCGUGAGUGACGGUAAUGGGUAAAGAAGCACCGGCUAACUACGUG